AUGCACCUUCUGCCUGCGUUGGCCUUCAGGGAGCCUGGCUCACCUCUCCAUCGCGGAGAUGCUUCCCCCAAGCUGUGCCACCUGGCAGGGUUUCCAGGUCACUGCUCCAGCUGUGAACAUCCCAACAUCUGCAGCCUUCUAAGGGCCCUUUCAGCACCGGGAACCCAUGCUGGUCAGAAAACGCCUCGUGGAAAACUGAAGCUGGACCUGAAUUGUGGAGGAUGGUAGGAUUUUUUUUUUAAAGUUUUUAAUUGCAAAGUUAAUUUGCAGCAAAAUAUAUAUAGACACGUUUGAAAAGAGAAAGUAAGUCUCCUCAACCACCCCCACACCACAGCGCACUCCCAUUCCUUCUGGUUCCUUCUGGUCCACAUGCAGGGUUGUGCUUUCCUACUGUAGACUGUGGUGGGGAGAGGGGUCUUCUCUGGGACCCCUGAUGUUUCCUGCCCUUAGGGCUUCAGAGGAGGGAGCUUCUGCUACCCUCUGAGAUCACCGGAGGAAGUUUUUCUUUGUCUUUCUGCUGUGUGUAUGUGUGUGUGUGUGUGUUCUUGUGGUUUUCUUUUUGAUGAGUGUGGAGGGAAGUGAACCCUGCUCCUUCAGGAGAUUGGAGGUGGGAGAUGACAGGCAGGUGGCCCUAGUGUAAGCAGAAGUUGGCUCCAAAUCCCCAGUGCCCUGCCCCCAACACUGACCUCUUUUCUUCUACCCACGCCCCCCCCCCUCCAGCUCCACGCCGGAAUCUGAGUCCAGCCAGAAGGGUGUGAACUCAAACGCUGCUCCAAAGCAUCCUAGCGGCGUGACCUUGGACAGCGACCUGACCUCGGUGGGCCUCGGGCUUCGCAUCUCCGCCGUGAGGCUUAAUUGUGCGCGAGCUCGGAGCUGUCGCUCGGCCCUGAGCCCGCCCCGGAGACAAGCUUCCCGAAAGGUGGCUGUCGGCCUUACCGGGGCGGGGAGGGGGCGCGGCGGGGGUCCCCCGGGGGUCCGGCGCGGCGCGGCGCGGGCGGUGGGAU
This 1004-nucleotide long non-coding RNA is filed under the name Canis lupus dingo (dingo). RNAcentral describes it as "lncRNA (ENSCAFG00020002694.1)". Lineage: Eukaryota; Metazoa; Chordata; Mammalia; Carnivora; Canidae. The record is from RNAcentral.